GGGGGCGAAAUGGGUUCGACGAGGGUAGUGAGAUAAGGGUGCAUGCCGAGGUCCCAACCCUCGUAAAAAAAUGGGAACUAAGAUAACUGCCAAUUACAACUACGCCUUAGCCGCCUAAAGUGCGGUUAACGUCCUCUCAAGUUCGCCUGUAGGCAUGGGAAGGGCGUCAGAGAUGCAGGCUAGCCCCGCCUGAUGCUUAUAAGGGUGGGGCGAAUUUCCAUAAGCUAGCCCUUGGGGAUCCUGCCUGGAGGAGCCCCAAGAGGUGAAAGAAAAAUCCAGACUAAGCAUGUAGAUACCCUUAUGGAUCUGCUUUCGGACGCGGGUUCGAUUCCCGCCGCCUCCACCA
This 346-nucleotide transfer-messenger RNA is filed under the name bacterium. RNAcentral's name for it is "G020344255 sp020344255 Standard tmRNA". It matches the Rfam family "transfer-messenger RNA". From Rfam's summary of the family: Bacterial tmRNA, also known as 10Sa RNA or SsrA, is named for its dual tRNA and mRNA-like properties. The record is from RNAcentral. RNAcentral also lists the same sequence under 1 other name.